AGUGAACGCUGGCGGUAGGCCUAACACAUGCAAGUCGAACGGCAGCACAGUAAGAGCUUGCUCUUACGGGUGGCGAGUGGCGGACGGGUGAGGAAUACAUCGGAAUCUACUUUUUCGUGGGGGAUAACGUAGGGAAACUUACGCUAAUACCGCAUACGACCUACGGGUGAAAGCAGGGGAUCUUCGGACCUUGCGCGAUUGAAUGAGCCGAUGUCGGAUUAGCUAGUUGGCGGGGUAAAGGCCCACCAAGGCGACGAUCCGUAGCUGGUCUGAGAGGAUGAUCAGCCACACUGGAACUGAGACACGGUCCAGACUCCUACGGGAGGUAGCAGUGGGGAAUAUUGGACAAUGGACGCAAGCCUGAUCCAGCCAUACCGCGUGGGUGAAGAAGGCCUUCGGGUUGUAAAGCCCUUUUGUUGGGAAAGAAAAGCAGCAGGUUAAUACCCCGCUGUUCUGACGGUACCCAAAGAAUAAGCACCGGCUAACUUCGUG
This 492-nucleotide ribosomal RNA is filed under the name uncultured bacterium. RNAcentral describes it as "partial 16S ribosomal RNA". It matches the Rfam family "Bacterial small subunit ribosomal RNA", at positions 29 to 507 of the family's 1533-position model. The record is from RNAcentral.